CAUAAUAAUUAGGUUUUUAAUUGGAACCUUGUAUGAAAGGUUAAACAAAAGAAUUUCUGUCUUUUUUUUAAAAAUUGAAUUUAACUUUUAAGUGAAAAGGCUUAAAUUUUUUAAGGGGACGAUAAGACCCUAUAAAGUUUUAUAAUGAAAUAAAUCUUUAAAAAAAUAAAAUUAUAAAUUUAAGAUUUGUUCUUUUAUUUUGUUGGGGCGACACGGAUAUAAAUUUAAUUAACUGUCAGAAAAAAAAACAUAUAUUUAUGAAAAGUAAAAUGAUCCUAAAUAUAGAUUAUAAGAUAAAGUUACUUUAGGGAUAACAGCGUAAUUUUUUUCAAGAGUUCUUAUCGAAAAAAAAGUUUGCGACCUCGAUGUUGAAUUAAAAUGUCUUUACAGUGUAGCCGUUGUAUAAA
This 407-nucleotide ribosomal RNA is filed under the name Pisa tetraodon. RNAcentral describes it as "partial 16S ribosomal RNA". Lineage: Eukaryota; Metazoa; Arthropoda; Malacostraca; Decapoda; Epialtidae. The record is from RNAcentral.